Molecule: long non-coding RNA, 3171 nt
Filed under: Daucus carota (carrot)
Lineage: Eukaryota; Viridiplantae; Streptophyta; Magnoliopsida; Apiales; Apiaceae
Description: long non-coding RNA (DCAR_LNC002871)
Source: RNAcentral
AAAAACACCAUGAGAUUCACAGGUAGGAAGUAAUUGAAGAUUGAAAAUUCGAAAUUACAUGAUUUAAAUUAGGGCUUUUUGAUUUUGAAGUUGUUUAUGUGAUUUCUUGAUUGUAUGUUGGAGAGAAUUGAAUUAUGAUCAUUUUGGUAUAUUAUAUGUGUGAUUUGGAGUUCAAAAACGUGCUUAAUUUAUGGUUUAAUCUUCGAAAUUACAAAUUAGGGUUUAUACCCGUUUGAAUCUUUUCAAUUAGAAUUGGGGAUUUGUAAUUCGUUGAUCCUGGAGAGAUUAUGAAGCUAUGAGCACGUUCCUCUUGUUGAGUAGAGUGGAUUUCAGUAAUUAAAUCAGUUGAAGGAGCUCGAUUUCGAGCAUAUCGGGAAAAAGAAAUGGGGCGGUGCCGGCGAAGCUUUGCUUCGAUAUUCCGGCUGAUUUAAGUUAGUUUUGAUCGAAUUGAUAAAAGAAAUGAGUUCCUGGUAGUUUAUACAUGCUAUGGUACGUGUCUGAAGCUGUUCUGGGUGAAGAAUGGCCGUCCGAUGGUGUUUCCGGCGGGACUGGGGGCGGCGACGGCAAAAUUGCCGUUUGGCCCCCAGAGUUUUGAAAAUGCUGAGCUGAUUGUAUCCAGGUUUUAAAACUUGCAAAACUUCCCCUGUAACUUUAAGAAGUUACAGUUUAAACCCUGGACGAAACUUUCAAAAUCUUACAAAAUAAACCUUUUGAUUUUAAUUUUCUAAAAUUGUUUUUAUUUAUUUAUUUUAAUUUUCAAAAAUAAUUUUAAAUUAAUUCUUUAUUUAAAAAUAAAUCUAAAUUAGUUUAUUAAUUAAUUUUAAUUAGUAAUUAAUUAUUUUAAUUAAUCAAUUAAUUUAAAUAUUAAUUGAUUAAUUGAUUUGAUUAAUUAUUAAUUGAUUUUAAUUGAUUAAUUAAUUAAAUUUAAUUAUCCUUUUUGAUUUAAAAAUUCCGAAAAAUAGUUUCGAGCUUUGAAAUAUUUUUCUAAAUUAUUUUCAAGGCUCGAUAAUUGUUUAUGAAUGAUUUCAAGUCCAAUUUCAAGUAUUUGGGACUUGAUUAUUUAUCCGAAAAGUGAUUCUUUUAUCGGUUUUAAUUUCGAAAAAUGUCUAAAAAUUCCAGAAAAUUCCCGAAAAAUCAUUUUUAACCCAAGAGUUGAUUUGAUAUCAAUUGGGGUGGGAAACCUUAUGUGUAAUGUGUUGUCUGCUAUCUGUUUGAUGUGUUAUGUACCGAUAGAGGAGUUUGAAAACGGUUUGGACCAUAUCUUUUGAUCUGUAAGUCGGAAUCAAGCGAAACGAAAGAGAGAUGAAAGCUCAUAAAGUCUAGUUUGAUAUGACAUAAUAAUAUGAUGGAGUUGAGAAUGUGAAUAAUUGUUGGUAAAUAUGCAGAACGUGAUUAUAUGUUAUUUAAUUGCUAUUAAUUGAUGAUUACGUGAUAUACAUGUUUAUUCAUGAUAAUAUACAUGUGUGAUAAAAGAUUUGGAUGACAUAGUGUCGUGAGUUGAUUGAUAGUGGAUAAGAAGAUAUGGAUUAUAAUGAUUGGAGUUGGUUGGUUGAUUGUUGAUUGAGAUAAGAUAAUAGGUGGAUAGUCUUAUAAAUAGACGAGAUGAUGUCGGAUUUUCGAUAGGAUUCAUAUGAUAAGUGAUUGGUAAUAUGUUAUGUGGUAUAUGACUUGACUAUAUGGUAGAGUCAAAGCAUGAUUAUGUGUUAAGUGAUAUGUGAUAAGUUUAAAGGGGUAUAUAAGUGGGUAUAGAUAUACGUGAUAUGUAUAUGCGAUAUAUUAUUUAGUGACUAUAGUAUUAUCUUAUUCUCGUUAAGGAUUUGGACGAGACGAGGAUGACCGAAGACGUUCAGAAGGACAAGUGGUGUUCCAAAGCGAAUAGGGGAUGAAUCGAGUAAGCGAAGCGAAGAUGUACGGUAGAUAGAGUAUAGCCAGAGAUGGUCUAGAGACUAUGAUAUGCAUAGAGUAUGAAGGUGGAAAGAUGAGAAUGAGCUGUGAGACGGGAGUCAGAUUUAAGGCAAGUAUCCUGAACCCUUCUUUUGGAUAUCUUGCGAUUAUUCUGAUCCAUUCUUUUCGUAUGUGUUGCAAAUAUUCGUUCCUUUCUUUUUCAUAUUUGGCAAGUGCAAAUAUUUUAUCCAUCCUUUUCUAAUCCUCAAAAAUUCAGAUAAUUCCAGUUUUACAAAUUAAUUCGAAGUUCAGAUUGUCAUUGAAGCAUGUGUUGCUCAGUGAUGAUUAGAACCUAGAAUGACUUGGGAUCUUCUUGAUUAUUCAACCCGCCAUUGUCAUGCUGGUUUAGCAGGCUAAAUUCAGUUGCUUAGCCGAUAAUGGAGGAUACUGAAUAGUUAAGGAUUUCCUGAACUAUGAUUUAUGGAAGGAUGGACUCUGGUUUAUGAAAAGUUGAUUAUCAAAUGUUUGAUUUGGAAUUAUUUUAUCAUGGAUAUUGAUUGUGUUUAUGUUCUGUUGUUAUACGUUGACCUGUUAUUGAAUUAUAGAAUUGGAUUAUUGUUUUAUAUAAACCUGUGGACCAGAUUCGUGGUCAUGUUAGGCCAAUGAGUGCCUUGGAUCCAGUGAUAGAGCAUGGCGGGGCCUGCUCGGGGUUAGUGCGGAACUGAUCAGCUGCCUAACCUUGGUUUUAAUUAAAAUUUGAUAGUCCAAUUCAAUAAUUCUUUGGAAAGAUUGAAUUUCUCAGUUUAAAUGCUGCAAGGUAUUGUAAAUCAUUCUAUACAAUACCAUGAACUCAUGAACUCAGGUUGAAUCCUCUUAUAUCUUGAACUCGUGAACUUCUGUUAUAUCAUUUCAGAAUUGUCAUUGUUUAUUAUUACUUGCUGAGCAUUGUUGCUCACCCUUGCUAUUCCUUUCUAACCAUUUCAGAAAGGCUUAAAGAUGAGAUGAUUGAUUGAGAUUGUGAAUAAGGCUAAUGCUAGGCGAGGAGACAGAGUUGAGGAUCCAGUGGUCGAGGAGUGUUCAGGAAAGUUGAUGAGGUUGGUGCAAGCUAGAGCUGUGCUAUAGGGAUUCAAGUGUAAGUCAUAGCUGGAAUAGUUGACAGUGAUUCUUCUUAUCGAAGAUGAUCUGAUUUGGUAAGAGAUGUUGUGUAAUAAUAGUGGUUGAUUCUAAUUUCAAUACUGUAACCUGGAAGCGAUCCUGCUGUUUUAAGGGGGUUAAAGUGUUCUCUUU